Molecule: small nuclear RNA, 126 nt
Organism: Eptesicus fuscus (big brown bat)
Lineage: Eukaryota; Metazoa; Chordata; Mammalia; Chiroptera; Vespertilionidae
Source: RefSeq, a predicted model, not a curated record
GUGUUGUAUGAAAGGAGAGGAGGUUAGCACUCCCUUUGACAAGAAUGGAAGAAGCUCUCGGGCCUAACCACAUGCAUAUGGUCAAGGCAUUGCCACCAACUUCAUGGCAUCUAACUACUGUUUUUU